CGGUGAGGGACGAAGGCUAGGGGAGCAAACCGGAUUAGAUACCCGGGUAGUCCUAGCUGUAAACCCUGCACACUUGGUGUUGCCCCUUCUUUGGGAAAGGGCAGUGCCGGAGCGAAGGUGUUAAGUGGGCCGCUUGGGGAGUAUGGUCGCAAGGCUGAAACUUAAAGGAAUUGGCGGGAGAGCACCGCAACGGGAGGAGCGUGCGGUUUAAUUGGAUUCAACGCCGGAAAACUCACUAGGGAAGACCAUGGUAUGAGGGUCAACUUGAAGAAUUUACUCGAUUACAUGGAGAAGUGGUGCAUGGCCGUC
RNAcentral lists this ribosomal RNA (309 nucleotides) under uncultured Thermoplasmatales archaeon. RNAcentral describes it as "bacterial SSU rRNA". It matches the Rfam family "Archaeal small subunit ribosomal RNA", at positions 695 to 1002 of the family's 1478-position model. The record is from RNAcentral. Lineage: Archaea; Methanobacteriati; Thermoplasmatota; Thermoplasmata; Thermoplasmatales.